RNAcentral lists this long non-coding RNA (346 nucleotides) under Pan troglodytes (chimpanzee). Its description in RNAcentral is "long non-coding RNA NONPTRT003660". Lineage: Eukaryota; Metazoa; Chordata; Mammalia; Primates; Hominidae. The record is from RNAcentral.
UUUACGAUAUCUACGAAGUUGCUGCUUUGAAGUGGAAGGCCAAGAAAAACAGAGAGCACUGGUUUGAUGAGCUUCCCAGGACAGCGCUCCUCAUCUUCAAAGGUCGCCGGCCUGGGCCCUGUGGAGUACUUGUCUUCCGGAUGGAACUUGUUCGACUUCUCCGUGACAGUGUUCGCCUUCCUGGGACUGCUGGCGCUGGCCCUCAACAUGGAGCCCUUCUAUUUCAUCGUGGUCCUGCGCCCCCUCCAGCUGCUGAGGUGAUGGGCAGGGCAGAGCCGGAGACAGGGAGAAAGAGAGGGAGGGCGGGAAUGCCCCAGGAUUGAUCCGGGAAGUGACCCAGAAUGAG